This 648-nucleotide ribosomal RNA is filed under the name Klebsiella sp. K6-148. RNAcentral's name for it is "bacterial SSU rRNA". It matches the Rfam family "Bacterial small subunit ribosomal RNA", at positions 885 to 1533 of the family's 1533-position model. Lineage: Bacteria; Pseudomonadati; Pseudomonadota; Gammaproteobacteria; Enterobacterales; Enterobacteriaceae. The record is from RNAcentral.
GCCGCAAGGUUAAAACUCAAAUGAAUUGACGGGGGCCCGCACAAGCGGUGGAGCAUGUGGUUUAAUUCGAUGCAACGCGAAGAACCUUACCUGGUCUUGACAUCCACAGAACUUUCCAGAGAUGGAUAGGUGCCUUCGGGAACUGUGAGACAGGUGCUGCAUGGCUGUCGUCAGCUCGUGUUGUGAAAUGUUGGGUUAAGUCCCGCAACGAGCGCAACCCUUAUCCUUUGUUGCCAGCGGUCCGGCCGGGAACUCAAAGGAGACUGCCAGUGAUAAACUGGAGGAAGGUGGGGAUGACGUCAAGUCAUCAUGGCCCUUACGACCAGGGCUACACACGUGCUACAAUGGCAUAUACAAAGAGAAGCGACCUCGCGAGAGCAAGCGGACCUCAUAAAGUAUGUCGUAGUCCGGAUUGGAGUCUGCAACUCGACUCCAUGAAGUCGGAAUCGCUAGUAAUCGUAGAUCAGAAUGCUACGGUGAAUACGUUCCCGGGCCUUGUACACACCGCCCGUCACACCAUGGGAGUGGGUUGCAAAAGAAGUAGGUAGCUUAACCUUCGGGAGGGCGCUUACCACUUUGUGAUUCAUGACUGGGGUGAAGUCGUAACAAGGUAACCGUAGGGGAACCUGCGGUUGGAUCACCUCCUUA